This 3602-nucleotide long non-coding RNA is filed under the name Homo sapiens (human). RNAcentral describes it as "HSALNT0052439". Lineage: Eukaryota; Metazoa; Chordata; Mammalia; Primates; Hominidae. The record is from RNAcentral.
AAUCUGUGGGGAGUGCUAACCAGACAGUCCUGGGAGUCCUGCGGUAAUAGGAUUAGUUGCGAAGGUCUGCUGGGCAUUAAAAACAACUGUGGUCACUUUAGCAUGUGCUCCAGAAUAGCCUGCCAAAACAAACUGGUUAAUUUUUCUCUUUAAGGGGUUUGCUUUCUGAUCAUCUUUCAGAAUGGCAAAUACUAAACACCAUCAGGUAAUGCUGGACUAACCACUCACUGAAGAGUAUCUACUGUUUAGUCUUUACCUUUUUACCUUCCUGUCACACACAACAGGCAGGAAACAGGGUGUCAAAGAUGAGGAGGUUUGUUCGGCAACACAUUUCUUUUUUAACCUCAGGAGUUAUAAGAUCAUACAUCUCUGCUCCGAAAGCACUGACUUGGACAGCUGGAAUUGUGGUGACAAGAAACGUAUGUUAAUACUUUUUCAUUUAACCAGAACAAGGUAAUCUGAGCCAACCAAAAAGCAUUUCUCUCUUCCCCGCUCACAACACUGAGGAAUGUCAGAGGCCCUCAGGGAGUGAGGAUGCUUUAUGCGGAGUGGCCUGGGAAGGCCGGAAACCACUUAUUGGCUUUACCACUCUAAACCUCUGAAACAGUCAUGUCUCUUCUCAGACCUUUAUAUUUAGACUCCAGACAUCCUUGAGUCACACUUGCUAUAUUAAUACAGUUAAGGCAUCAAAUUAUCAUUAUCGGUAGCAAAACUUCUCUCCCUGUUUUACGACACAGGUAGUUUCAAUAAAAAGUUUUAUACCAGAAAAGAGGAGCUGUGGGCCUCUAUUUCACUUCACUACUCUUUUUCAAAUCAUGUCAGAUGUUAUUUCCUAUGUCUGGAGUCUUUCUGGAUUCUUCUUCUUCUUCUUCUUCUUCUUCUUCUUAUUAUUAUUAUUAUUAUUGGUGUAUAUGUUUACUUCUUAAGCAAGGUUAGAAUUCCAUCUUCAUGUUCAGAUUCUCUUCCACUAUAAUUGUUUUAUUUGUUUGUUUGUUUGUUUUUUCCUGAGACAGAGUCUCACUCUGAUGCCCAGGCUGGAGUAUAGUGGUGCGAUCACGGCUCACAGCAGCCUCAACCUCCCGGGUUCAAGAGAUCUUCCCACCUCAGCCUCCCUAUUAGUUGAGACUAUGGGCACAUCUCACCAUGCCUGGCUAAUUUUUGUAUUUUUUGUAGAUAUGCUGUUUCACCAUGUUGCCCCAGCUGGUCUUGAACUCCUGGGCUAAAACAAUCUACCUGGCUUGGCCUCCCAAAGUGCUGGGAUUACAGGCAUGAGCCACUGUGCCCAGCUCUCUUCCAUUAUAAUUUCACCAUUACCAACCACCUCAGGCUCACAAUUUCCAGAGGUGUUGAAGAAUGAUUGCAGGAAAGUGACUAUCAUACUAUGGAACCCAAUCUACUACUUGUCAAUGCCAGUGGAGAGCAGGGGGUCAUAUGACCUCUCCCCUUUCUGGAUCUUUCUCUCAUACUCACUUCCUCACAGGUGCAAGAGUUUCAGAAGCUGCUUCUACCCUGAGUAACAGUGCUGAGAACUCACUGGAUUGCCCAUGAUCAGUGGGUUCUGGAAGCAAAUGGACAGAAGGAAUUCAAGAUUAACACAGAAAGAGACCAUGACAUCACCACCACAUGCAUGUGGCCUCCAGACAGUAACUGUAAUAUGAGAAACAUCAUACAAUAAUUCAGAAAGUAAUUUCAAGCACCUGCUUUGUGGUAUUAAAAACCCAGAGAAAGUUAUGUGUGCCCAGUUUUAGAAUUUUUCCUGCUCGUUUUAAAAAUUUAUAUUUAGGUUUAAUAAUAUAUAAGCAUAAAAUAGGGAUAACAUAAAUGAGCACUUACUAUAUUCCAGGCGCCACUCUAAUGGUUUCAAGGCGUUUUUUCUUUUUUGUUUUUUUUUUUCUCUCUCACUGAAACAUCACAAUAAUGCUAUUAGGCAGGUUCUAUUAUCAUUCCCAUUUUAUAGACAAGUAAACUUGAAGACAAAUCUUUUUGUCCUUUUUCCAUUUUAUGCAAUGCUAAUUUUAGGCAGAGUACAUAUUUCAAUUAGUAGUUUCCCUUUUCCCAUCACACAAGAAAGAUGUGCUUUGUCUCCCCGAGACAUUUAUUAUUAGAGGAAUAACAGUAAAAUUGAGAGAGAGGAACAAAAAAACCAAUACAUAAAAACAGUGCAAUUUAAAAAAUCAAGUUGAAUUAUUUGGUUGCUUAUUGGCUCAAAGAGACAUUGGGACUUUGCCUCCCAACAAAACCAUUAUUUUUUUUUUCAAUAGUUUCCAACCUAAAUUUCUGAAAUAUUUCUGUUUUAUUAUUUACUAGGUAACAUCCUGUUUAUCAGAAGGGGAAACUAAUGACACUUUAGCUUAUCUCAUUAUAAAACAAAUAGAACCCGGAAUUAUUAAAGUUCUUUUUUAAAUAAAAUAAAAUCAAUGCUUUGGUAAACUUUUUUCUUUUUUUUUGAGACAGAGUCUUGCUCUGUCACCCAGGCUGGAGUGCAGUGGCGUGAUCUCACUCACUGCAGCCUCCACGACCCGGGUUCAAACAAUUCUCCUGCCUCAGCCUCCUGAGUAGCUGGGACUACAGGUGCACGUCCCCACAUCCAGAUCAUUUCUUUUGUAGUUUAGUAGAGACAGGGUUUCUUACUUAACUGUUUCACACCUUUGAACUUGCAUUCUAACGGCAAUCAUUGGAAGCUUAUGUGCACUUCUACGGUGUCUUCCUCUUCCCCCUACUUACCAGGUGCCUUUUGGCUAUGCUUGUUGUUCUGUGAUCUAGAAGUUAUCUUUGAAUCUCUCCCAUCAAACAGAAUGUUGAUACAUGCUUGUUACUUAAAAAUGUUCAAAUGAUUAAUAAAUGAAGAAAUAAAUGAAUAGAGGAAUCUUUUAAAGGUGACGAGGAUAUGGAAAAAUAAUUUAAAAAAAACUUCUUGUAAAUGAAACUGAUUGAAACAUCGCCUAGUUCUUUAAGCUCUGGGUUAGUCAGGUUUGCUGGUUUUAAUUCCUCUCUCCUCCAGAGUAUCAUAUCUAUCUUUACUCUGGACCUUUCUUGAGAAACUUAGAUCAAAUGUAAAGGCUUCCUUGGAACCAAUAAAACAAAAUUACUUAUGUUACAUGUGCCAUGUCAUACCUUCCUUUAAAAUAACACCCAUACAAACACAGACACAUACAUGUUCUCAUAUACACUCAUACAUAUUCACACAUAUGCUUAUAUAAACAACAAACACUAUCACUAUCAUGUUUUAAUAUGGUUAUUGGUGCAUGGUGUCCCUUAGUUCCUUGCAAGCACUUCCUACAUGUUUUCUCACUCAGUAAAGCAUGUGUGUGUCUGUGUGUUUCCAACAUAAUUUUACAGCUAGAUAUUUAAAUCCCAUUCUGGUUCAUAAACUUGUCUGGACCAUCAAGUACAUGUUUUUGCUUUUUCAACACUAGGAAUUUCCCAGGCUCACUGGCAAAACCAAUCAAAUGUCUGUUUCUGUUUCAAAGAUGAACUAUUCAAACUUAUUGGCUUGUACCUGCCUUCUCCCUGCCUCUCCUCUAUCCCUGUGUUACCAAUCUUAAAACAUUAAGUAUGUUGAAAUGAUUCUUAGGUUGGGUGGCAGAAACCACAGGUAUGAG